CCCGCCGCGGGAAAUGGCGGCGCCACGAGGGGAGCUCAUGGCGGCGGGGGCCCGGCCCCUCUCCGCUGGCGGCGGGCUGAGGUGCCUGGGGGCGGCCGGCCGGCAGCGGGAGAGCGGCGGAGCUCGGGCACGGCCUCCCGCGCUCGCUUGCACACGGAAAGGCCCCGUGGCCCUGCGGCCGGAACGGCUCCCGGGCCGUGGCGCCGAGGCCCGGGCUGCCCGCGGCUCGGCCCGUGAGCGCCGUGUCCCUUGCGGGAGCUGCCGCCGUGAUGCGCGUCCCGCCGGGAGCCCCGGGCCACGGCCGGCGCGGGGCCCGUGAAGAGGCGCUCCCGCCUGGGGCCCAGGCCCUUUGUUCCCGGCUCCAGCACUGGGUGAGGAGGGACACUGGACAUGCCUUGGAUUACGAUAGUUCUGUCACUGCCUUAGCAGUCCUGUGCCAUGCCUGGUGACGACCAUGGGGCCAUUCUCCUGAGCAGAGAGAGACAUUCUCCUGUACUCAGCCACUGGCAGCAUAAUAACGGAGCUGUUUGGUACCUGUGGAGUCCCACUGCAGGGGUGUCUGAACACCUUGAAUUUGGCUCAGAAAACCUACCCUUGCACAGUCCAGUGAGAGGGUUGUGAAGUCCUGGGGACCUGCCAGUUCAGUUCACCAACUGGAAAGUAUUUGCCAGGUUACAGCUGUGGUUUAAACACUUGAGGUGAAAGCUGGUGGUUGGGAGUGGAAUCAUAGGUUCACCAGCAGCCUUUGUGCAUUAGAGGCUCUAUUAGGAAGUUCAUAUGUCCUGAUACCUCUGCUCUGAUACCUGUGUGUUAUGCUCUUUCAGGUAUCUAAGAUUGUGGCUCCCAGUUUUUGACUGAUAGGGGUGAAACAUGUCCCAGUGGGUAGAAGUUGGCCCCAGAGUAAAGGAGUACAUUUUUAAGCAAAGAAUGAUGCUAUCUCACCGCUUCCAUCCCCUGCACAGGAGCUGUACCAUAUAGCUGCUGUUCCCUGGGAUGGCCAUGCCAGCAUCAGCAGGGCACGCAUGGCCGCAAGCUGCUCUGCUCACUGGCAGACCAAGCAACUGAAAGUCUCUGGCCUGCUUACAGCAGGUCUGACAAAGUGACCAUAACAACCUUUUCUGCCCUGAAAAUACCUUUAUUGCUGGUAGGUUAAGAAAUGAUGCUGUGCUGGUAUAGCUCAGUGUUUGUAAACCCAUCUUCUGAGGCUUUUGAAACAGAUAUCCAAGAGCAGCUGGUACUAAUCACUGCUGUAGUGACAUACUCAGCUCCUGUUUUUGUGGUUUCUAAAGGCCUGUUUUGGUAAGACCUUUUUUAAGCUAUUGGAGAAAGAACAGACAAGCUUUUGAUACAUAGUUCUGUGUAAAAUCUCUUUAGUUUUGCCAACGGCAUUUAUUUGUAGAGACCCUGCAUAUUGUAGAGGCCACUGCUUGUUCCUGGUGAUUCCCUAGAAUGGAAACUUGAACCAAUAAUUUUUGUAAUGAAUGUGCAAUAAAUCUGUGGAAAAGC
Camarhynchus parvulus is the source of this 1506-nucleotide long non-coding RNA. RefSeq lists it as uncharacterized. The transcript has 3 exons. NCBI's taxonomy places the organism in Eukaryota, Metazoa, Chordata, Aves, Passeriformes, Thraupidae. The record is from RefSeq and is a predicted model, not a curated record.